This 71-nucleotide transfer RNA is filed under the name Marmota monax (woodchuck). Its description in RNAcentral is "tRNA.Ala". Lineage: Eukaryota; Metazoa; Chordata; Mammalia; Rodentia; Sciuridae. The record is from RNAcentral.
GAGGUUGUAGCUCAGUGGUUGAGUACUUGCCUAGCACGUGUGAGGCACUGGGUUCAAUUCUCAGCACCACA